RNAcentral lists this transfer RNA (76 nucleotides) under Chitinophaga solisilvae. It matches the Rfam family "tRNA". Rfam says of the family: Transfer RNA (tRNA) molecules are approximately 80 nucleotides in length. Their secondary structure includes four short double-helical elements and three loops (D, anti-codon, and T loops). The record is from Rfam by way of RNAcentral. Lineage: Bacteria; Pseudomonadati; Bacteroidota; Chitinophagia; Chitinophagales; Chitinophagaceae.
AGCGUUGUAGCUCAAUGGCAGAGCAUCCCAGAUAGUUAUUUAGGGAAGGACGUGAGUUCAAUUCUCAUCAACGGUA